This is a small nuclear RNA of Cavia porcellus (domestic guinea pig), 104 nucleotides long. The record is from Ensembl. NCBI's taxonomy places the organism in Eukaryota, Metazoa, Chordata, Mammalia, Rodentia, Caviidae.
AUUAUCAUUUUGUCAGCACAUACAGUAAAAUUGGAAAAAUAGAGAGACUAGCAUGGCCCCCAUGCAAGGACGAUACACAAAUCCAUACAGUGUUCUAUAUUUUU